Mus musculus (house mouse) is the source of this 2657-nucleotide RNA transcript. It is a transcript of the gene named farnesyltransferase, CAAX box, beta, with no coding region annotated. The record is from RefSeq and is marked validated. The transcript is spliced from 11 exons. Lineage: Eukaryota; Metazoa; Chordata; Mammalia; Rodentia; Muridae.
CUUUUUUAUUAUUUGCAUAACGAACCGAGGCAUCCUAGAUCUCCUUUCUCCAGAAAGCUGAUCUCCUGCAGCAGCUCAUCUGUCCGACGGGGGGCGGCAGUAUCCCAGUAACUCACUUCUUGAAGAUGUGUAGGUGGGAGGAGAGAUUCGCGUUCAAAAUCUUUUUGACUCUACGGACUUUCCGUAGCGCCUUAGCCCGCUCGAGUUUCAAUGCGCGUUGUUGCUGGAUGAAGCUGAGUCCUAUACAGCGCUCGCAGCUCUCCCGAUCAUGGCUUCUUCGAGUUCCUUCACCUAUUAUUGUCCUCCAUCUUCCUCCCCUGUUUGGUCAGAACCGCUGUAUAGUCUGAGACCUGAGCACGUGCGGGAGCGGUUGCAAGACGACUCAGUGGAAACAGUCACAUCCAUAGAACAGGCCAAAGUAGAAGAGAAGAUCCAGGAGGUCUUCAGUUCUUACAAGUUUAACCACCUUGUACCAAGGCUCAUUUUGCAGAGGGAGAAGCACUUCCAUUAUCUGAAAAGAGGCCUUCGACAACUGACAGAUGCCUAUGAGUGUCUGGAUGCCAGCCGCCCCUGGCUCUGCUACUGGAUCCUGCACAGCCUGGAGCUCCUUGACGAACCCAUCCCCCAGAUAGUGGCCACAGACGUGUGUCAGUUCCUGGAGCUGUGUCAGAGUCCAGACGGUGGCUUUGGAGGGGGCCCCGGUCAGUACCCACACCUCGCACCCACUUAUGCAGCCGUCAAUGCGCUGUGCAUCAUCGGCACAGAGGAAGCCUACAACGUCAUUAACAGGGAGAAACUCCUUCAGUAUUUGUACUCCCUAAAGCAACCCGACGGCUCUUUUCUCAUGCACGUCGGAGGUGAGGUGGACGUAAGGAGUGCAUACUGUGCUGCCUCGGUAGCCUCUCUCACCAACAUCAUCACUCCAGACCUCUUUGAAGGCACGGCCGAAUGGAUAGCCAGCAAUGGGUGACAAGCCGGCAGAUGCGGUUUGAAGGAGGCUUUCAGGGCCGCUGCAACAAGCUGGUGGACGGCUGCUACUCCUUCUGGCAGGCAGGGCUCCUGCCCCUGCUGCACCGAGCCCUCCACGCUCAAGGUGACCCUGCCCUCAGCAUGAGCCAUUGGAUGUUCCAUCAGCAGGCGCUGCAGGAGUACAUCCUGAUGUGCUGCCAGUGUCCAGCCGGGGGGCUUCUGGACAAGCCUGGCAAGUCACGUGACUUCUAUCAUACUUGCUACUGCCUGAGCGGCCUCUCCAUUGCCCAGCAUUUCGGAAGCGGAGCCAUGUUGCACGAUAUGGUCAUGGGUGUGCCCGAAAACGUUCUGCAGCCCACACACCCUGUGUACAACAUUGGACCUGAGAAGGUGAUCCAGGCCACCACACACUUUCUGCAGAAGCCAGUCCCAGGCUUUGAGGAAUGUGAAGAUGAGGUGACCUCAGAUCCUGCCACCGACUAGAGGACCCCGUGGCUCUCCCAGCUCCCCCGUCAGACAAGGUUUCUCCAUUUGGGUGUGUAGCACGCUCUGUGCUACUUGAGCCUCGACCACUGUGGAGUUGUGGUUUCUUUGUCCUUUCCUGUCAAACAAAACAAAGCCAUCAGCUCUGGGUUGGAAUACACGGUGGUGUGAUUUUUAAAAUUAUUUUCAUACCUGUCAAGCCAAAACUCUGGGAGCCGAUGUAGCAAGCCAGGUUGGGAGCAGUGUAUGCUGGGAAGCAGCAGCGCACCCCCUUCUCCCCCCCCCCCCCCCAAUGCUGAAAUGGAAGAUAUCUGUGAGUAUCUGCAUCCCAGCCACUGCUGUGACUCCACCCACACACACCAUUCAGUCACCAGACCGGCAUCCUCUCUGGUAUAAAUCUUAGCUCUGUGCAAGGGUGGGGCUGUGGGUCCAGCCAAUACGAGCUCUGGAAGAGAGCACUGGGCUCCAGUAGGCCAUAUUUAUGCUUGUCUCUUUCACCCCAGUCAUCUGCAAAGGACAGGGGUCGGGAAUGAAGAAGGCUCUUAGAUUGAGCCCUCCCCAUAACCUGGGGAAAACCGAGUCACAUCCUCUCCGAGGCCACGUUUGGUAUGAGUGAGACUUAUUUUGUCCUUGGUAUGAUGACUACACCCAGGUAAUCAAUUAUGAGUGGAAAACCAACCUCUAGGUCAACUCUGUGCCAGAGGAAGCAGCUUCCCCAUGCCCAGCCCCUGCCUCUCCCCAUCAUGUACCAGGAGAGGCCCUCCUCCAGCUAUGCUGCGGCCCAGGUUCCUUCUCCCCACCCACCCCUCCAAGACAGUGCUGUCUUUUCUCAUCCAGAGUGUUAACACUACUAAGGCUUUCACCUUAAUUGAUCACUCAGGAUUUGUUCCCGCCCUGUCCACUCCAGGCAGGCUGGCUGCUGCCGGGACAGCAGCCUCAGGUAGUAGGGCUGGCAGUAAUCCUGGAACUGCCCUGCACCGGCCUGGCACGGUCUGUAGGGUGCUGAGUUUGCUCGUCCAUCCACUGCUACAGUCACAGCGAGCUCGCCUCACUGUCCCAGCCUGUGAGCAGGCAGACGGGAGCUUGGAGAUGCAGCAUGAGGCUCUUCCCCUAACCACUGGCCAUUUGCUGCCUCUGAUUCCCUGUUGCUUUGGUGUACUGGGCUAUGUAUUACCUCCUUGAAAUAAUAAAAGAGUAACAUUUUC